This is a non-coding RNA of Rattus norvegicus (Norway rat), 510 nucleotides long. Lineage: Eukaryota; Metazoa; Chordata; Mammalia; Rodentia; Muridae. The record is from RefSeq and is a predicted model, not a curated record.
UGUAUGCGCCUGCGUGGAGAAAUGAAGUAUGCGCCUGCGUGGAGCAAUGAAGUAUGCGCCUGCGCAAAACCUCAGGGUCCCUGAGUCCCUCAGUUAUCUAUGAACCGAUCUCCUCCGCUGUGGAUAAUCACUAGACAUCCUGGCAAACUGGAAAACCAUCCAUAAAUAUAGGACUUGGAAGUCGUGUGAAAUUUGAACCCAGGCUCCCUGGCUUCAGGGCACUGAACUGGACUAAAAGCCUAUGCUGCUUCUCAAGGGCGAGCGAUAACCUAGAAAGAGCAAUGGAAUGGGCAGGCGAGAGGGCUCUGCUGGUAAAGGUGAUUGCCACCCAAGGCGACAACGGGAAUCAGAUCCCUGGAACCUACAGGAAUGCAGGAGAGAACCAACUCCACAAGGUUAUCCUCUGACUCCCACACACCAAUAGCAUGUGUAUGCCCCCACCCCACUCACCUUUCCAUCCCUCUUCCCCUCUCCCUCCCCCACACUAAUAAUAAACAUUUUUUAAGAAAA